This 821-nucleotide long non-coding RNA is filed under the name Homo sapiens (human). RNAcentral's name for it is "non-protein coding lnc-KDM4B-3:1". The record is from RNAcentral. Lineage: Eukaryota; Metazoa; Chordata; Mammalia; Primates; Hominidae.
CAAAAAAAAAAAAAAAAAAAAAAAAAAGAAAGACAGGGUGUCACUGUGUCACCCAGGCUGUAGUGCAGUGGUGUGAUCAUAGCUCACUGUAGCAUUCAACUCCUGGGGUCAAGCAAUCCUCCCACCUCAGUAUCCUGAGUAGCUGGGACUACAGGCAUGCACCACCGUGCCUUGCUGAUUUUUUUAAUAGAGAGGGGGUUUUGCUAUGUUGCGCAAUCUGAUCCCAAAUUCCUGGCCUCAAUUGAUCCUCCUGCCUCAGCCUCCCAAAGUGCUAGCAUUACAGGUGCAUACCACCACACUAGGCUUAUUUUAAAAUUUGUCUGUAGAGAUGGGGUUUUGCUAUGUUGCCCAGUCUGAUCCCAGAUUCCUAGCCUCAAGUGAUCCUCCUGCCUCAGCUUCCCAAAGUGCUAGGAUUACAGGUGUGCACCACCACACUAGGCUAAUUUUUAAAUUUGUCUGUAGAGAUGGGGUUUUGCUAUGUUGCCCAGGCUGGCCUCCAACUACUGGCCCCAAGUAAUCCUCCUGCCUCAGCCUCCCAAGGCACUGGGAUUACAGGCGUGAGCCACCAUGCUCGGCUAUCACACAUAAAUUCUUGUAACUAACCACAGAUGAGAUACAGAACUAUUCGGUCCCCACAAAGAUCUCUCUAAAGCUACUCCCUGGGAGUGACCCCCACCCCAUUCCUAACCCUAGGCAACCCCUAAUCUCUUCUCCAGUCUACAACUUUAUUAUUUCAAGAAUAUUAUAGGACGGGUGUGGUGGCUCACACCCAUAAUCCCAGCACUUUGGGAGGCUGAGGCGGGUGGAUCACUUGAGCCCCG